UGACGCUGGCGGCAGGCUUAACACAUGCAAGUCGAGCGGGGAAAAGUAGCUUGGCUACUUAACUUAGCGGCGGACGGGUGAGUAAUACUUAGGAAUCUGCCUAUUAGUGGGGGACAACAUUUCGAAAGGAAUGCUAAUACCGCAUACGUCCUACGGGAGAAAGCAGGGGAUCACUUGUGACCUUGCGCUAAUAGAUGAGCCUAAGUCGGAUUAGCUAGUUGGUGGGGUAAAGGCCUACCAAGGCGACGAUCUGUAGCGGGUCUGAGAGGAUGAUCCGCCACACUGGGACUGAGACACGGCCCAGACUCCUACGGGAGGCAGCAGUGGGGAAUAUUGGACAAUGGGGGGAACCCUGAUCCAGCCAUGCCGCGUGUGUGAAGAAGGCCUUUUGGUUGUAAAGCACUUUAAGCGAGGAGGAGGCUACUCUAGUUAAUACCUAGAGAUAGUGGACGUUACUCGCAGAAUAAGCACCGGCUAACUCUGUG
This 485-nucleotide ribosomal RNA is filed under the name uncultured Acinetobacter sp. RNAcentral describes it as "bacterial SSU rRNA". It matches the Rfam family "Bacterial small subunit ribosomal RNA", at positions 33 to 507 of the family's 1533-position model. The record is from RNAcentral. Lineage: Bacteria; Pseudomonadati; Pseudomonadota; Gammaproteobacteria; Moraxellales; Moraxellaceae.